RNAcentral lists this long non-coding RNA (30811 nucleotides) under Lactuca sativa (garden lettuce). RNAcentral describes it as "long non-coding RNA (LSAT_LNC008670)". The record is from RNAcentral. Lineage: Eukaryota; Viridiplantae; Streptophyta; Magnoliopsida; Asterales; Asteraceae.
UUCCCACCUUCAAUUGCUUCGCUUUUCUCUAGUCACAUCGACCUAGAUGUAGAGGAAGACCAACAAAUGGAGUCGUUUGACCAUAUGAUGUCUCACUCCGUCACUGCUUAUGUGUGUUUCUUGCGUGAUAGAUGCGGAAGCGAUAGGUAGGUAAGCAAGGCGGAGGGUCGGGUGGCUCUAGCACUCCGGCGGCAAAGACAGGCCACCCUUUUAGAAGCGUUGAUACAACUGACUGGCGAUCGGUCACCACUACCACUAAUCUCCUUCUUCCACCGUUGCUUACGGUGUUCUCUUUUUCCUCUCCCAAUGAAAUUCAUUCUUUACAGGCAUCCCUUUUGAUCUUCCAACUUUUAUCUCUCCGUCUAUUCCACACUAUCUGGGUUUAUUUCCGGAUCUGACUUCAUUUUUUUUGUUCGUUUCCGACUUCUUGGGGUUUAUCCUUCCGCCUUGUCGUCAAGUGAGGGUUUAUCGAUUAAUUUUACCGUCCGUUUUUCAUUUCGAUUUUCUCCAUAAGGGUAACGUUUCACUUAAGGAUUUAUUUUCCCUUUUUUGAAAUCGCAAUUGGACUUGAAUGGCUGCUGGUCACCAGAUAUAUAAUAAUCUACUUCUUGUCUGAUGGGUCUAUUUCUUUUUCUUUUAUUUGAUUGGUUUUGAUUUCUGUUUGCUUAAGUAGCUUUCAGACCAUCAGCAAGAACAACUGUAGUCUCUACCUGUGGAGCUUUGGGAAUCAUGAAGAGAUAACGUCGAAGUUAUCAACGUCUCUCAAUUCCUGUGGAUAAAAACCCUCAAGGCAGCUUCAGUCGAGGACAUGAUUCAUAUAAGAGCAUCGUCUUCCUUUUUAUGACUUUCAAAUUUCAGUUCUUAUCCUUAUGGCACCAUAUUUGUGCUUAUGUUGGCUUUUUUUUUGGGCUGUUUGAAUCUCAGAUUGUUAAUGACUUCAUUUGAAGAUCAUUGAGCUUAGGAUUCCAGUUUGUUAAUAGGGUGAUAAAGGUAUUGGAAGAAUCUGGAAUCGUAUGCUAAGUUUGAUUAGACGUUGAAACAUUUUCCCACCAACUGUUUGUUAAAUUUUUUACUGAAUUCUCAUAUUUUUAUGUGGUUUGUAACUGAUACUGAUCAUUUAUUGGUUUAUGAGAUUUAUUCAAAUAAAGAAAUCAAAGAAUAAAAUAUUGGUUUUUGUUUUUGAAUCCCAGGUACACCUUUGGCAAAUGUUAUUUUUUGGAGCGAGCUUUUGACUGAUACUAUUAAGGUUAGUAAUAUAAUAUUGCACAUAAAAAUUGAUUAAUUGUUUGCGUAUUAGAUUUGUGAUUUUCUUUGUGGUUAUUCACUUGUUUGUAUAAAUAAGAUUUAAGGGCCUUACGAGGCUAAGUGUAUUCUUUCAUGGAAAUUGAAAUGAUGAUAAGUAAGAUGUGCUAUGUGCGAGAAAUGGUCUGGUAUAAUUAAAGUGAUGAUCCUCCGAUGAACACGUAACAAUUUAGUUUUUUUUAUUGAGAAAAUCAACAUACGGUGUUGUCGAAUACUUUCCACAGGUAUAGUUUCAGUAUAUAUACUUAUUGCAUUAUAAUUUUGGAAUUUAAAUGUUUUAAACUUUUUAAUUCUUUUUUCAAACGUAUAAUCAGAGGCUAAGUGUAUUCUUUCAUCACAAUUCUAACAUUUUUGUUUAUUAUUCUUAAAACAUUGUUUUUGAGCUUGAUAUGUUUAAGUAGUUUGAGUUUUCUUGACCGUUGGAGCUAUCUUAAAUAUAGUUUUUUUUUUUUUUUCUACUUUUACUUUUGAAGUACUAGCUUCAUUCUUUUAUCAAGAUGGUCAUAACACGAGGAUCUUUUUAAUUAUAAGGAUUCAUUAUUAUUAUCAAGAUGGUCAAACCACCUGGUGGUCGUGUUGUAGAAGAAUGAAGACAAAAUAGUCGUGAAAAAGGCCAUCGUCAUGUCAUUACGACUAACCUGUCAUGUCGUAAUGAACGCACUAAACAACUUAAUGCCUUGUGCUCUUAAUCCUUCAAGCCAAGCAAACAAGGUUUCAAUAAGGCUUUCUCCAUCUCAAAAUACUAUAAAAUUCAUAGUUGUUUUGAUAUACAUAUCCAAGGCAUGUUCUAAACACCAGCUAGGUCAAAAUGAAUGGAAAAUGAGAUCAACUCUCAUGUAUAGAACUCAAAGCUCACUAGUAUUAUAGAUCUAGGACAAAGGGAUAAAAGGGAGUGUCAAGAACUCAUAAAUUUGUGAACUUUAUAAGUUUCCAACACUCAAACACCCUCAAAAAGUGAGAAAAAUGAACCAAACCCUAAAUCUAAAAUGCUUGAGAAAAAAAGAUAGGAACUUGAGGACUUACAAGAGCCCUAAUGUAACUCAAGAUGAUGAGGGAGUGGCUCUCUAGCGGAGAUGAUGUACCAAUAUUCCUUAUCUUUUUCUUCAAGGCUUCAAAUUACCCAAAAAAAGGGCUUAGAGAUCAAAUACGGAGGAUUAGGAUUUCUUCAAGGAGAAGGGAAGUGAAAGAGGUUGAGGUUGUGUAAACCCUAGCCGCUCACUUCCCUUAAAUAUGGGACAACUUCGAAAUUAGGGUUUUUCACGCAAAGGUUGUCACGUCGUGACCAGCAUGUGUGUCACGUCGUGAGAGCCAAUAAGAUGCGUGUUCCUCAUCGAGCACCGUCAGUCGUGACACAAAUGUACUCACGUCAUAACUAAGGAUUCAAUCCUUAAAAGCUAAAUAAUUAUUCAAAGGUGAUGCUUACCUUGAACUGGGUGUUACAAUUCUCGCCCACUUGAACUAGAUUUCGUCGUCGAAAUCCUCAGCUACAAAUAGAUAUGGUUAGUGCUCGUGCAUCUCUGACUUGGGCUCCUAAGUCCACUAGGAACCCUUCUGAUUCUGCCAUUAAACGUUGACUAAGGGCACCACCUUUUUAUGCAAGGCCUUCUUCUUCUUAUCCAGAAUAGCCAUCGGCUUCUCCACAUAAUUCAAGUGCUUAUACACCUGAAUGUCAUAUAUUGGGACCACCGCUAUAUCAUCAACCAAGGACUUCCGAAGCUGAAAUACAUGGAUGGUAAUAUGAAUCUGACUAAGCUCCUCAUGCAAAUCCAACCGAUAGGCCACUUUGCCUAUCCUUGCCACUACUCCUAAAGGUAUGAUAAAUCGGGGGCCAAACUUGACCUUCUUCCUGAAGCGUAUAACACCCUUCCAUGAUGAUAUCUUUAGUAGAACCACGUCCCUAACCUGAAGAUCCAACUCAGGCCUUUGCCUAUCAGUGUAACUAUUAUGCCGGCUCUUGCUAUCUAUAACCUCUGCCUGAUUUGAUGAAUAAGUUUUUUCGUUUGGAGAACCACCUGAAUCCUCCUUAUUACCCUAUGACAGACCUCUCCCUGAUAAAUUGGAGUACGACACUUCCUCCCAUAUAAAAGCAUGUACGGAGGUGCACCAAUGUUGGAAUGAUAGAUGUUGUUGUAAGAAAAUUCAGCUAGGGGAGGUAUGAGUCCCACCUCCUACCGAAAUCAAUGACACAAGCCUUGAACAUAUCCUCGAGUGUAUGAAUAGUCAACUCACUCUGGUCAUUAGUCUGACGGUGAUAACUGGUGCAGAAGUGUAGUCUCGUACCUUACUACUCGUGAAAACUUUUUCCCUUGGCACACAACACACGACUGGAUUUCCUCGGGUUUGUUUGCCUAUAGCACAAAGUCGUACCUCCUCAAACCAACCGCAUUAUGUCGACAUAUACAAGCAGAUAAACAAUAGCCAUCAAUACAGAUAAUCAUACAAAUUUACCAAUCUAACAUAUUACUUUAUUAUACCAAUUUCCAAUACAAAAUGACACAUACAUCAAUAUAAAGUAUAAUGAGAAAACUCACCUUCCAGCCUAGAUGAUAUGAACACUGAUCACAGAUCCUAUAACCAACACUACAUGUCACUUAUACAUCAAAUAAGGACCACAUCUCAAAACUACAACCCAAAACCCAAAACUUGACUUGAAGUCAAACCUAGUCUAAAAGUCAAUGGUCAAUGUCAAAGUCAACACUCAAGAGUUAUUCAGCUAGUUGCCACAUCGUGACCCCCUGUUGGUCACAUCAUGGCAGAAUGAAGACAAAGUGGUCAUCAAAACAUGGCAUCGUCACGUUACUCCGACCAACUCGUCACGUCAUGAAUAACAAACUGAACAACUUAAUGUCUUACGCUCCUAAUCCUACAAGCCAAGCAACCAAACUUUCCAAAAGGCUUUCUCUAUCUCAAACUACCAGACAUGCAUGUCCAAUGAAUGUCCUAAACACCAACUACGUCAAAAUGAAAGGAAAAUGAAAUCAAAUCCCACGUAUGGAACCCAAAGCUCACUAAUAUUCCAUAUAUGGGAAAAUGGAUACAAGGGAGUCACAAGAACUAAUAAAAUUGUCAACUUCAUGAGUUUUCAACACUCAAACUCCCUCAAAAGGUGAGGAAAGUGAACCAAACCCUACAUCUAACAUGCUUGAUCUAAAAAGACAGGAACUUGAGGACAUACAUGAGUCCUAAUACAACUCAAGAUGAUGAGGGAGUGGCUUCCUAGCUGAGAUGAUGCACAAAAAUGCCUUCUCUUCUUCUUCUUCUUCUUCUAGUAUUCAAAUCAUCAAAAAAGGGCUCAAAGAUCAAAUAUGGAAGAAUAGGGUUUCUUGUGGGAGAAUGGAUGUGAUGGAGGUUGAUGGUGUGCAAACACUAGCCCCUAACUUUCCUUAAAUGGGGGACCAACCUCAAAAUUAUGGUUUUCCAUGCAAAGGCUAUCACGUCGUGACCAACAUAUGUGUCACGUCGUGAUAACCAAUGAGAUUGGCGUUCCUCACGGGGCAACGUCCUGUCAUGACAAAAAUGUGCUCAUGUCAUGACUAAGGCUUCCAUCCUUAAAACACAAAUAAUUAUUUAGAAGUGAUGCUUAAACGGGUGUUACAUGAUAAGUUAUUGGUGUGAAUUAUAUAUCGACAUAAAAUUUUAUAUAGGAUAAUGAUUAUAUUAUAACACAAAUUAGGGGAUAUGCUUGUCUGAACAUGGACGUGAGGAUAAUGAGCUUGAAAAUGACAAACACCUAAUCAUAGAUACUAUUCUAAACAACAUAAAAUCAUAUAUAUAUAUAUANAUAUAUAUAUAUAUAUAUGACAUCCCCAAAUUAACGAUCAUUUUAAAAUUUUAAUUUAUGCUUAUUUUAAAAUCAGAGUAUCAUUUUUAAAGAACAAUGUUGCAAAAUUUGUUCCCAAAAAAAACAUGAUAAAUAUGUUAUCAAAUCAUUUCCAAAGAAAUGUAUUUUAUUUAUUCUAAAACUUUGGGAUGUCAUCGUCACUACAAAAGCAUAAACAUAAACAGAACUUACAUUCAUUUACACUAGUGAUCUACAUCUCUUUAAUCUCCCGGUGUAGUGUAGCUUUAUAUCGACACCUGUGAUAGAAAUAAAUUGAGAGGGUCAGGUUGGGAAACCUGGUGAGUACAUAGAGUUUUCAACCCACAAUAAUAAAGUUAUUAUGUUUAAUCAUCAAAAAAUAAACCCAAUUACACAUUGUCAAUAUCUUCUUUAUUUUUAAGUAUCUUCCCUAAGAAUCAUCUAUUCCUCAUUAUAUAUUCCUAAGGAUUGUCCUAAAGAAUGGGCACGAAGUCCAUUGUUGUCAGGGUUUGUAUAACAAGCACUAAGUCUAUAGUUGCAAAGGCUCAUCUAACCGACACUAAGUCCAUAGCUGUCAGGGUUUAUCUCAUUUAUUGAUUGUAUUAUUUUAGGGAGUCCACCCACAAUACAGGUCAAUGGGUUUUUAGAGUACCCAGGGUGAGGACAUCGUUCACAAAACCCACAAGUUGUGAGCCUGCUAGUGUUCCACUAGACUCUCUAGAAUAGUCUGUGGUUGUUAUAUGUAGUCUGCUAGAUGACAAGACCAUCGCUUUGGUCAUUGCUUGGGUCAUCGCUUGGGUCAUCGGUUCUCACUAUUAUUUACCACUCAUAUAUCAUCGCUCAUCAUUCAUCUCAAUCUACCCAUCUUUGACCUGUCAUAAUUAUAGGUAUAAAAUACAUAUACAGUUUAAAACAAUUAAAACAUGUAUAUUUUUGUUCAUCCAACAUAAAUAUUAAGUACACAUAUAAUAUGCACACAUAGCAUGAAAUUUAUAUUAAAUACUUCAUAUCUAUGUGUAAGAUAAAAGUAACUAUAUGCUCACUUGUUAAAGUGAUGACUCCAAACUUGGACAGCGCUCCGCUUCUUAAUAUAAUUUCCUUCGAUGAAACUAAAUAUUAUUACCACUAGAUUUUAGUCUAAUGUUUCUCAUGACUAAUUACUAGUUUUAGUAUUAUUAUUUAUAUAAGUGUUUGGCAAUGCUUUUCAACCACUAUGUACAGACAAGGCUAGACAUAAAACACCAGAGGGCAGGACCAUCUUGGCAUAUAGCACUUAUGAAAUCCAACAAGCCUAUACGGCCCUUUAAACCAGAUUCCCUAUACGGCGAGUAGUUAAAAACUAUAUAUUAACACUUUUUAUUUAUAUANNNNNNNNNNNNNNNNNNNNNNNNNNNNNNNNNNNNNNNNNNNNNNNNNNNNCAUUGAUGAAUCUUUCUAAAAAGAUUCUUGAAGCGCUUCUAUGCUCAUCUUCCCAUACUAAAACUACAAAAAGAGAAGUCAAAUCACGAGGGACCGAAAUGCUCGGGAGAUAAGAAGAGAAAGACUCUUGAAUCAAGAGAAUGGUGCAAGAAGUAGGAGAGCCUAGAGGCUCUUAUUUAUAGUAAUUAAAUUUUCAAAAAUUAUCCUGUAUAGUUACUUAAUGACCUUAUAGUUAUAUAAACGACCAAACACCCCUUUAUAAUACAAUUUUUAAUAGAUUUAAUGAUAUUUAUACUAAACUAAUGUCGAAAGUCCUCAACACUAGUCUUAUAACGACCGCAUCGUCGAUACCUUUAUAUGCAUAUAUANNNNNNNNNNNNNNNNNNNNNNNNNNNNNNNNNNNNNNNNNNNNNNNNNNNNNNNNNNNNNNNNNNNNNNNNNNNNNNNNNNNNNNNNNNNNNNNNNNNNNNNNNNNNNNAUAUAUAUAUAUAUAUAUAUAUAUAUACACAUGUAUAUAUGAUUUAUACUUUAUUUUAAUAUGUAAAUAUGCUAUUAUAAUUUAUAACUCAUUCAUAGUAACUCUGUUUUUGACGUUCUUUAUAUUUUUAUUUUUCAUCAAUAUUUUUAUAAAAUUAAAUGACUUUGCUAAAAUCAUAACUCUCUCAAACGGACUCAAUUUGUGGCAUUCUUUUUCUCAACAUUCCUAUUUUAAGGAAUACUAUGAUUUACGUUUUGGUGUCAUUAGCUAAAAGUCAACCAUUCUCUUUGUAGCUUUUUAUGUCACAUAUUCCUUGUGUGCGGGUGACUUUUAUAUCUUAUAAAAAUAAUAUCUAAUUCAUAAGGAUUCACAUUUCGAAGAAAUUUAUAUUUUAGGGAUCGGAAAAGACGUGAUAUUCGCCGCAUCACGUGGGACGACAUAAUUAUAAUUAAUAUAUAAAUUGUAGGUGUUGUAUAUUCAAAUUAUAGUCUUUCAUAAAAUUACUUCAUAUAUAGAUGAAAUAUUUAACUUGGUCUUUUAUCAAUAUGACUAGCUAGUUUGUUUGUAAAACUAAAAUAUAUUGAAUGAUAAAUAUUUUGAUUUUGCCAAUUGAAUAUCAUUUUAAUUAUUUUAACAUAAAUAAUUCAAAAAAAUCUUACCUUUUUGAACCCCGCUCGAUAAAAAUAAAUGCCCAAAAAAUACUAAUGACAUCAUACUAUAUUAUAAAUAAAUCACUUUUUCUUUCACCGCAUUCAUUGGAAACUCGCUACUAUUCAUAUUUCCAUAUAAUAUACUUGAUUUAUUAACAUAAAUAUCUUUUUAGUUGUAAACAUUAUUAUAAAUGAAAGACUUUCUGACUUAUCAAUAUAAUAUACUUACUUUGUUAACUUCAAUAUAUUGUUAAAUAAAUAACCUACAUUAAUAUUAUCAAAUUAUCUUAAAAUUUUAAUUUAAAAUUAAAAACCUAAAGUAAAAUAUCAAAUAAUGUUUUUUUUAUAUUGAAUAUAUAUAUAUAUAUAUAUAUAUAUAUAUAUAAAGGUAUUUACAUCUAUUUNNNUUAAAUAUAAUAAAUAUAAAGGAACUUAAAUCAAUGAAUGAAAUUAACUAAAAGGUGUCUGAAAACUAUAUUUUAUAAUAACUAAAAUUCAAUUAAAUAGUUUUUAAAUUAAUUUAUAAUAACAAUAGUUGAAAAUGAUAGAAACUUAGAAAUUAAAUUAUGUUACAUUACAAACAGUUGAUAAUUAAAAUAAUCAACAUGAUAAAAUUAAAACACCAUCAAUUUUUUUUAAUUAAUAAAUCAUAACAAUAGUAAGUUGAAAUAUUUGACAAAUAUAACUAAUGUUAUACACACAUAAAACAAGAGUACAGAACAUUAAAUUAUUUGAUUUUAAUAAGUGUUAUUUUAUCUAUUGUUCAAAUUAAUUAUAAUUUUAUAUAAAGUAAAUGUAAUAAUUAUUAUUUUAUAGUUAAUAUAAAUGACAUAAAAUUUUCAAUAACAUUAGAUUACCAAAAGUUUUAACUUUUCAAUUUCUUUCUAUCAAUAAUUUAUAAGUUUGUUAAUAAGGUUAAAUGAAUAUCAAACAAAUCGUAUAUAAACAAAAUUUCAAUAUUGAAAGAAUAUAUUUAAACCUACUUAUAGAUUUAUGUUUUUAAUUUUUAACAUAUUUUACUUAAUUUAUUCGUAUUAAUAUGUUGUUUUCAUGCAAACCAUUAUCAUUUUAAAGCUACAACUUUUGAACAAUUUGUAUAGAAUACUUACAGGGUCAACUUAAAUGUAAAUUUUAGUUCAACUUAAAUAACCAAGGAAUAUAUAUUGUAAAUAGUGAUAAAUUGUAGUAUCUUUCUAAUAAUGAUUAUAAGUUAGUUAAUAAGGUUAAAUAAAUAUCAAACCUAAAGUGUAAUCAUAAAAAACUAAAUUUUAAUAUUAAAGUAAUAUCUCUACUUCUACUUAUAAGGUUAUGUCUUUAACUUUUAACAUAUUAUACUUAAUUGAUUAGAUUUAAUAUAUAGUUGUAUGCAACCAUUAUCACUUUUGAAGCUACAACUUUUGAAUAGUUUUGACAAAAAACUUAAAUUGUUAAUUUAAAUAUAACAUUACAGUGUCAACUUAAAUAUAAAUUUCAAUUUCCACUUAAAAACCGAAAGAAUAUUUUGUGAAUAGUUAAAAGUGAUAAAUUGUGGUGCUAAGUGCAAAAACUAAAUUGCACUCUCAAUUUAACUAAAAUAUUUCCUGAUGAUAUUUUUAUAAUCGUUAAAAAUAACUGUUUAUAAAUGAUUAUAUUGUUACCUCUAAAAAAACAAUGUUUGAUGUUUUAAAUAAUUACAAUGAGAGAAGAUAAAACAUUUAGCAAAUAAAUUUUAAAAAAUUAAUUAUCAACAACAACUAUAAAUAACAUUAAACUAUAUCUUAUAUUUAAUUGAAUUCAUGAAUAACCCGCAGGUGGAGGUCACUCAAACAAUUGACAUUAUGUAGUUUUAACAGGUGUAUAUAUUACAUAUAAUUCAAAAUAACCAAUAUAUCAUAUCAACUUAUCAUACGAAUUAUUAUAUCAAAUUUAACAACAACGUUAUUGUUACAUUUAAAAAAAACAUAUAUUUGUAAAGAUUUCAACUAUAUAGGUGUUUCUGCGCAACGUGCGAGCAUUCGCCUAGUGUUGUGUAUAGGAGAAUGAUCAUCAUAUAAUCAUAUCAUAUCAUAUUCAUAUUAUAUUAUAAAGGAAUCAUUUUUUCUUUUCACCACAUUCAUUUGAAACUCCCAUACAAUUUUCCUUUCACCACAUUCAUUUGAAACUCCCAUGACUUUUCAAUUUCUUUCUAAUAAUAAUUAUAAGUUAGUUAAUAAGGUUAAAUAAAUAUCAAAGCUAAAGGUUAAUCGUAUAUAAAGUUUAUUUCAAUAUUAAAAUAAUAUAUUUACUUCUACUUAUAAAGUUAUGUUUUUUUUUUUUUUUUUACUUUUAACAUAUUAUACUUAAUUUAUUAGUUUUAGUAUAAUAUUGGAUGUAAACCAUUAUCAUUUUAAAGAUACAAUUUUAGAACAAUUUGUAUAAAAUACUUAAAUUAUUAAUUUAAAUAUAACAUUACAGGGUCAACUUAAAUAAAAAUUUUAGUUUAACUUAAACAACCCAAAAAAUAUUUUGUAAAUAGUUAUAAAUGAUAAAUUAAAGUGUCUUUUCUAAUAAUGAUUAUAAGUUGGUUAACAAAGCUAAAUAAAUAUCAAACCUAAAGUGUAAUCAUAAAUAAACUAAAUUUCAAUUUUAAAAUAAUAUCUUUACUUCUACUUAUAAAGUUAUUUCGUUAACUUUUAAUAUAUUAUAAUUUGUUUAUUAUAUUGAAAAUGUUGUUGUAUCUAAACCAUUAUCAGUUUAAAGCUAGAAAUUUUGAACAGUUUACACAAAAUACUUAAAUUGUAAAUAGUUAAAAGUGAUAAAUUGUAGUGAUAAAUGCAAAAACUAAAUUGUAAUCUCAAUUUAACUAAAAUAUUUCCUAAAUAUAUUUUUAUUAUCGUUAAAAGUUUCAAAGAAGUAGCUUAAAAUAACUUACAAUAACAAUAGUUAAAAACAACUUUAUAGAAAUGAUUAUAUUAUUACCUUUAAAAUAAACAAACAAUGUUGAUGUUUUAAAAAAUUAUAAUGACAGAAAUUAGAACAUUAAGAAAAUAAAUUUUAAAAAAUUAAUUAACAUUAACAACAACUAUAAAUAACAUUAAACCAUAUAUUAUAUUUAAUUUUAUUCAUCUGUAACUCGUGGGUAGAAGUCAUUUAAACGAUUGACUAAAUUACAAUAUUAAAAUUUCAUAUUAUAUUUCUGUUUAUAAAAUUAUGACUUUAAAUUUUUAACAUAAUAUAUUUAACUUAUUAGGUUAAAUAUGUUGUCGUAUGUGAGCAACUAUCGUUUUAAAGUCACAACAUUUGUAAAAUUUACAAGUUGAUGCAAAAUACUUAAAUUAUUAAUUUCAAUAUAAUAUUAAACAAUUAAUUUAAAUCAAAAUUUCAGUUAAUCUUGAAAAAACUCGGGAGACUGUUUUAUAAAUAGUUAAAGAUUAUAAAUUAUAGUUUUAAACCUAAAUUGUAAUCCUAAAUUAAAAAAAACCAUGAAACUGUUUUUCAUAAUCAUUAACAAUUUUCAAAUAAAUAGCUUAAAAAUAACAUACAAUAAAAAUAGUUAAAAGUAAUAUUAUAUAAAAAAACUGUAAUAUUUUCUUUGAAAACAAAAACAAUGUUUUUUUGUUUUAAAUAACUACAAUCAUCGAAACUAACAAUAUUCAUCAAAUAAAUUUUAAAAAUAUUAAAUUUAUGAAACAAAAUUAAAAUAAUUAACAGUUUUGAAAUACGUUAUUUUAAAUAACUUACAACAACAAUAGUUAAAAUUAAAUUAUAUACAAAAAUUAUAUUGUAGGCUUUAAAAACAAAAACAUUGUUCGAUAUUUUAAAUGAUUAUAAUGAUAGAAAUUAAAAUCUUGAGCAAAUAAACUUUUUUUAAUUAAUUAAUCAUAACAACUAUAAAUAUCAUUAAAUCAUAUAUUAUAUUUAAUUUUCAUUCAUAAGUAACCUGCACGUAGACGUCAUUAAGACACUUAGGAAUAUAUAAUUUUAAAAGAUAUCUAUAUUAUCAUAUAAUUCAAAACAAACAAUGUUUAUAUCAACUUAUUUUAAGAUUUACUAUAUAAAAACUAAUAACAAUGUCAUUAAUAUAUUUAAAAAACAUAUAUUUGUAAAAAUUUGAAAUAUAUUAUUGUAUUAUGCGCAACACGUGAAUAUUUGUCUAGUUUUAUUAUAAGACAAAAUAGGGGAUAGACUUGUAUGAGCAGAUGUACAAGAGAAUAUUGAGCUUGAAAAUGACAAACAUCUAACCAUAAAUACUCAUCUAAAACGUUUAGAAUCACAUAUAUAUGAAUCAUACAUGCCCCACAUAGUUAUUAUACAUAGUUAUUAUGAACCUUCAAUAUUAUGUAAAUAUUAUUUAUCAAAGUCGGUUAUACAUACAUAUAUUAAUGUCCACUUGCCUUUUCAGUUUCCCCAUUAAACUUCAUUUGCUUUUACAUUAUUUACUCAUAAACUAAUUUUUGAUCUAAAAGUUUUCACCCCUAAUAACUUUUAAGUUAAAUUAUAAGUAUGCUAUAAGUUUUGAUUUUGGUCGCUUACAGUAUUUAAAACUUACGUUUUUCGUCUCUUACAUAAUUUGUUUUUACUGUUUUCAUUUUUAGUAAUAUGACUUUUUGUUAUUACGAUUUUUAAUUAAUUUUCAUUUUUGUAUUGUACGAAUGAAAAUCUAUUUUCAAACCAUAUUUUUGUCUGCAUCAUCCAUACAUAAUUGUUUCGAUCGAAACUAUAUUUUAUACUUUUAUUGUUCACUCUGUAAAUGUGUUAUUUGCCACAAUACGUGGGGCCACAGAAUACGAGUUCUGCGUCGGACAUUCUAGUUAUAGCCUUUCAUAAAAGUAUUUUAUUUAUAGAUAGAAAUACAUCGAAGGAUAAAUAUUUUUGAUUUUGCAAAUUGAAUAUUAUUUUAAUGUCUUUAACCUAAUUUAUUCAAAAAAUACUUAUCAUUGUGAACCUUGCUAGAUAAAACACAUGUCCAAAUAAUACUAAUGACAUAUUGUGUUUGACAAGAGGGAAUAUCUAAAAAUCUAAUUGUUAGCAAAUAAAUUAUGUAAUAGAAAAUUAAGGGUUUCUAAUAUCUAUCUGAUAAGCUAUAAAUAUGAAAUAUAAACCAACAUUGAAUAAUAUAUUGGAGAAUGGUUAUAUUAUAAAACAAACUAGGGGAUAUGCCCAGAGACGGGGCCAGAAUUAUAGAAUAACGGGGCUUAUAUUUAAGAAUAUGAAAAUACAAUCUUUACCAUUUUUUUUUCAUUUAUUUAACCAUGCUACGAUAAUUGUAUAUGACCUAACUUGAUGUUUAGCUGGAUAACUUAAAACUGAAUGUUGAUUUCUAAGAUAACGAUCAAAGUAUCUAACUUUAAAGCAUUUAAAUAUAAAAUAUCAUUUUUUUUCGGAUUCAAUAUUAGUAAUUCGAUAUUACUAUUAUUUUUAGGUUCUAAGGGUGUAUUAUGAUCAUCUUCCUUAAUUAAUAUUAUUAGUAACAAAAUUCAUUUAUCGAUAAUGAAUACGUGCUUUUGGUUUUUAAAAAGUAAUCUUUGUUUUUUUUGGACUAGGAAUAUAAAACACCAAAUUAACAAUUAUAAUGAUAUUUUAAUUACAAAUUACAAAAAAAAAUUGAAUACAUAUAAUAAAUUUAAAGAUUUGGUUUGUCAUUAAUCCGAAUAUAACAUAGACAUAAAAAUAUUAAGUAAAUUUAUAUGUAAAAAAAAUAUUAAAAUAUCAUGUCCAAGUCAAUUGAAUUCAUUAGUAGAGGCGGUGGGUUUUCAUUUCAUAGUGUAUAUUUAUGUGUGGCUNNNNNNNNNNNNNNNNNNNNNNNNNNNNNNNNNNNNNNNNNNNNNNNNNNNNNNNNNNNNNNNNNNNNNNNNNNNNNGUCUGCCCCGGUAUUGGCUCCGCCAUUGGAUAUGCCCAUGCAAACUCGUGAGUGAGGAUAUUAAGCUUGAAAAUAACAUUGAUGUGUUUCUUUGAUAUAAAAAAACAUAUAUUUUUAUAGUUGAAGAGAAAGGUUAAUUACAUAGUAAACAUUACAUUAUCUUGAAAAAAUAAAUAAACAUAUCGAGAUGUUAAUUUUCUUCUUGAAAAUUUCUUAAAUGUUUUAUGCUUCAUUACGAUAGUCAAUAAAGAAACUCAUACAUCACGUAUUAAGUAAAUACUUCAUAUAAAUCAUAAUUAAUUGUUCUAUUGAUUGCAUUUAAUUAACGUGGUGUGUAGACUAAAACUUGUUAUCCAAACUUAAAAUUAUGGAUGUUGAUAUCAUGUAUCAUUUCUUAUAAAAAGUUAAUAUUAGUGUACACUAUCACUUACCCUAAAAUUUCACUUCCAUCAAUCCAAUUAACAAUAGCGUAUCCAUAAAUGGCUAACUUCAACUAUUUGUAAUAGGGUUGAAUUUGACAUAGAAAAUUAGCAUGCUUUGAACAUGGAUCAUGAAAAUAUAACAAACAUACAAACAUCAUAGAUGCAAUUCCACAACAGAAAAUUGCACCGUCAAAAUGAUUUGGACUAGCUUUUUAUGGUGCUUCAAUGUGGAGUUGGUUUUAAUNNNNNNNNNNNNNNNNNNNNNNNNNNNNNNNNNNNNNNUAUAUAUUCGAUAGUAAUAUAAUAUGUUCGGUGGGAAUAAUAUUUUUGAAUGCACUUAUAUAAAUUUUAUAUUUUCCAAUGUUGAAACACAAUAACAUUAAAAUCACAUCGCAAAGAACUCCAGAAGGUCUAUCUAAACUUUUCAAUCAUUCAUGUACUCUUCUAGCACAUUAAUUUUUACCUUGAUCCUCUCACCAAGAGAAUAUAGCAACUCCAUUGAAGAUUGAAUAAGCUUCGUAUAAAGGGUCAUUGACUUGUACAUUAAUAUUUUUACCAUGAAUGUACUUGAAGAGACUGGAUACAAACGAGUUUCUACAAACUAUGCAUCUGCUCAUUACUAAAUUUUAUUGUUUCUUAUAAGGUUGUUAGUGUACUUUUUCUUCGUUAUCAUAUGUGAUAUCUUGACAUAUGAAAAUCAUAAUUUCUUGUUUCGAGCAGAAGGUAGACAUUAUGUACAACACAAAGUCUGACUUGAUAUGAAGAAAAUGAUCAUGUUUAUAUAGUAACUAUCGUAUUAAGGAACCAAGUCACUUUCAUGCAAGUUAAAUUACAUGGUUAUAAUUAAAGAAGGAAAUUACAAAUUCUCUAUUCAAAAUGGUUGACUUCUUACAUGGGCGUUGUGAAUUAGUUUCGCUAAUUGGAAUAAAUGAAAAUGAAAGGAAAACCCUUGUUGAUGUGAAUUAUAAUAUCCUUAUUCCCGGUAUUUGAUUUAAAUCUAGUUUUAAUUUGGAUAAUUCACUGAAAAACUAAAAUAUGGAAUUAAUUGCAAGAAGUAUGACAUGCUUCUUAUGGGUGCAGCGUGCUCCAACCCAAGGGCUGAACAACUUUUUAGGGUUUAGGGCUAUUUUAGACCCUUAACUCUCUAGGUUUGAAUCAUUUAUGCUCUCCUUCAACCCUACAGAGAUCCUCCAUAAAACCUAACCCUUUUUCUCACCUUUUAAGCAUUAUAUCACCUUGGAUACUCAUUUUGCCUUAGUUUAUGCUUAAAUCUUGAAGAACAAGAUCUUGCUUGGUGCAUUGAAGUGGAGAACAAGUGUAGAUCCGAAACUUUUUUCUCCUCUCUCGGACCUUUGUGAGUCUAAAGCUUCAAACAUUCCUUGUUGUUGCUAGAUCUUUAAUUAUGUCAAUUUAUGUAUCUUUUUGUCCCCGUUUGUCGGUGAUCUUGUGGUUAAAUGAACUCUAUCACCAUGUAAGCACUUCAUGUUGAUUUUGGAGCCUUAUGGACUUAUAAAGUUUUGACCUUUAGCCUUACCUUAAUGCCAUGCAAAUCUUGGCGGUGUGUUAGGUCUUUUGGAAUGCAAAAGGCUAGAUCUUGGUUGUUCUGGUGUGUCUUAAUGGAAAAAAUUGGAAACUUUAUCUAUUUAGACCUUGUUAGAGUCCAUAUAUGGAGGGUGGGGUGGUAACUUAAAGGAUUAGCUCAUAAACCCUUAUGAAGAAGGCUUUAGUAAGAUGCUUGUAUCCUUGUGAGUGUGAUAUCCUCUAAUUUUCAGAACCAAAAGACCUUUCUUUACACUUUAAAAAUCAUGAUACUUCAUUUGCAGAAAAUCCCAGUAUAUAAAAUAUGUUUGAGAACAAUGAAUGGCUCAAAUAAAAUCCUAAGGAUGUCAUAACUAAAACAAAUACAUAAGUUUCGGUGUAAAGACCUAAUGAUCCUAAACACUAUUAUAGGUUGUCUAUACUCUACGUUCCUAAUUUCACACAUUCUUUGAAUAAAACUACCCAAUAUCAAACUUGAUUGAAUUAUGAAUCUAUAAUAAGUCUUAUUUCAUUAACGGGCGAAGACUACAAGGCUUCCAAUACCAACACUAUCAUAUUUCACUAUAUAUUUACUACAGAGUAUUUAAGUAUUAAUAUAAUUUUUUCCUCACUAAUAAUACUUCCAUUAUUAUUAUCAUGUAACUGUAUCAUAUAUGCAUCUUAACACAUGUAGAACCAUAUCUGGUUCGCAUAUUGUACAUUAUCAAUAUACAUCUAACACAUAUCCCAGGAAAUAAGUGUAUAUUUCACAUAUGGCUUUCAAUGGAUAUUUACUACUUUAAUUAAUACUUGUAUUAUAAUCAUUUACAUGAAAGGGACUACACACUCACUUCACUUAUGUGGAUGACUGGUGAUUUGGGUAGUGCUUUGCGUAACACCUUAACUUUUCUUUUUAUGUGACAUAAGUACGAUUAAUAAUGAGUCUUAGUAUAACUGUCCUGGUGACUAAUAAUAGUCUAAAUUUUUCACUAAUCCAAAUGUCUAUAUCAAGAUCUAUCAAGUAAGGAAUAACCAGGUAAGAUCAGAUUGGAGGUAGGGUCCGUUUGGUAUAAAUAGUAUACUGUUUGGAAAUCUCACUUUAAACACCUCAUUAAAUCUAGACUAGACAUCAUUCUCGUAAGUAGAUCAAUUAGUAAAAUGACUUGGAAUCACUAAUAAAUAUUAUUUAUAGGUUCAUAAUAAUGACUAUGAACAUAAAUAUAAGUUACAUUUGAAAUAAAAUAAGUUUAUCUUAACUUACAUAAAUUUUAGCUAAAACCAGGAAAUUGCAUGGGCAGAACUCCGAAACCGAAAACUCUAUCUGUCCGACGCUUUGGGGCUUCGCUAAAGUAGCCACAAACUAGAAAGUGAAGGGAUAGGGUUAUGAGAGAGUUCUAUAGGAAUUGGGUGGAAAAUAGUGAGGAAAAUGAGUAGAAAAUAUAACUAUUUAUAGCAAGAAUUUGCAGGGGCGCACCGGGCCUCUGGUCGGAAGAGUUGACAUGGCUUCUGUUGAGUGAUGCCACAUCUAAGCUUUAGGGUGGGGCUGCGUUGACUUGUCAGAGCACGCCGUGUCUCUUUUCAGCAUGCACGAAACUUUAUUAUUUUGCAAAUAUUAGUAUCCUCUUAAAACAAGCUCAUCCACGCGUAACUAUUGACAAACACUGCAACUUUCAUUUAGACUCUGUCGGCUAGUUCUCACUUUAUUUUUAACUUAUUAUUUUUGAAGGCUUAGACUGGUAAAAUCCAUUUAAAAAUCAUAUCCCAUUCAUACAACAUCCAUUCUCUACUUUGUUUAUCUCACCUGAUAAGUAUUGACGAGAUCUUUAACUCUCGUUUAGAUUGUUUUUCCUAACAAUCAAUCGAUCAUAAUUUUGGUUUUUGUGCUACACACUGCUAUGCUAAAACUUUAAAAAAUCAUAACUUCUUCAUAACAAGUCACAUUUGGAUGUUCUCUAUAUGCACGCGUUCUCUUUUACGGUUACUACGACGUUCAUUUAGGUUACUUAUGAUAAGGAUCAACUUCACUAGCUAUCUUUGAUUCAUUAUUUACAAAGCGCAUAGUUGUGUUGCUUUAAUUGCGAAACUUCGAAGAAACAUAACUUCUUCAUAUGAAAUCAGAUUUAUGCGCUCCUUCUACCUUCGAGAUAAUCAUUAUUACUACUACAUCUUCAGCUAAGAUUGUCUAUUAUAUUUUAAAUGUCUAACGCGAAUCUUUAGGUGUUACAGUGAGUUAGGAUGGCGUUAUCUUGUAGCGAGCUGUUAGACAGGUAAACUAGCUUAGAUACUUACAUGUGUUACUAUAUUGUUGUUAGUUGUUUAUUAUUAUAAACAUGUCAACAUGUCUUGUGGUCAGUUAAGGACAAUCUAACUUUUUGUUGAAGGUCAAGAAACUUAAGGCAUACCAGCUUUAUGGUGAGGGCCAGGGGCGGAUCGACUUUAUGUUAAAGGCUGAAGGGAUGAGCAUCAUUAUGUUGAAGGCUAAUGUCAUUCCCCAAACCGGAACGACGGAAACAUUCGGGAGCGGAGGACGUCAUGCUCAGUAUCACAACACAUGCAUCAUAGUAAUCAAAGUAACAAACAACGAUUGCAUUAAUAUUAAAGUGUUUACAUGCAUUUGAUUCACAAAAGAUUUACUCCAAAACUAAUUAACAAAACAAAGACAUGAAGCUACUAUGCUCCAUCUUCUGAAUCACUGAGCGUGUACCUGUCUACUAGUUUCCUGAGAAUGCAAGUUAUUUUGAAAUAGUAGAUCAACAUUUAAGCUUGUGAGUCCAUAAGCAUUUUUGUUAUAAAAAGUAUACUUUAAGUUCUUUUAGAAAAGUUCGCAUGUUCCUCCAGAAAAUACUAUAUUUUCUGAUGUGAUGAAAAUAAGUAAAAACGACUCUUACAAUUUCCUCUAUGAGUACUUAAUGGAUACAAGUUAUAUACAAUCUAGAGUAAACAGACAAUCGAUUGUGUGAAUAUGCCCUAAGCCCAUAACCAAAAAAGGAACAAGAAAUGAGACGGAAGUCACACAUCCCAUUGUUUGUUAGAUCUUUAUUGUAUAUAACCCUAGCGUAUUCAAUAGGUGCUUACAGAGUUAACUCUAAUAGUUCUUUUAUAUUUGAAGAAAAUAUUCCUUAAGAAUAAUCAUAUAUUUCCUUUAGUAAAAAUGGUAACCACAAUAGUUCUUUCAAUAAUCACUGAGUUUAUACAAGCUAAAUGUAAUUUAAGAUCGAACGGACAGUUAAAUGUGUGAAUCCACCCUAAGCCCACAACAAAACAAGGAACAGGAAGUAAGGCGGAAGUCACACAUUUCACUGCCUAUUGGAUAUUAAUUAUUGUUGGAUAAGGUGUCUAAGUUUAUAACUAUUUCUGGUAUGUACUUGACCCGUUUUGGCAUGGUCCAUUUGGGUUGCAUGGCAUCAUGCAUUUGGAUAGACUAAAAUAAGAGAUAUAACACUUAAGGUUUAUUAAUAUAUUAUAAGUUCUAAUGUAUUAAUAAUAUUAUUUAGUAUUGAUCAAGAAUUAAUUUGGAAUUAAUUAGGUAAUCAGAAGGAGACUAAGUAAAUAUAUGGGUUGAUUGUGUAAAUCAUCCAUACUUAUAUAAUAAGCUAAUGCUUCAUGGAUUAUCAAGUUGGGCUAAAACCCAUAGGAUGCUCCAUGGAUGCUCCAUGGUGUUUAUAGAACCCAUGGGUCAUGGAAAUGAAAAGUCAUGACAAUUUGGGUUUACAUGGUGUAACCCUAAUUGUAACACACUAUAUAAGCUUAAUGUUCUUCACCAAAAUCAACCACUAAGAGAACAAGAGGGCAUAGCCAAUUUUAGAAGUGUUAUAUUUCUCUAAAGGUUAUUCCAAGUGUAUUUGGUGUUGUGUGAGACAUUUGAGGCAUCACACUUGAGGUGCUAGGUUCACAAGGUUCUCAAGGAAUUCAAGCAACUAAAGGUAUGUAUUUCUUACUAUCUUUUAUGUUUAAAAGUUCCGCAUGUACCCUAGAUAGGUUAUGAACCUUGGAAAAACAAAUUCUCAUGUAUCAUAGAUAAAACAUAGAUCCAAGGUUUCUAGGGUUGCAUGUAAUCCAUAGGAGUGUUUGAAUGCUCAAAACCCUUCAAUGGUAUCAGAGCCUAGGCUUGUUUAUUUGAUACUUGAUGCAAAUUGUUGAGAAAACUCAGUUUUUGUGCACUUUGCAGUUUGAACUCGCCGAGUCGAUGGGGGACUCGACGAGUCCAUGAGUAAACUCAUCCUACUCGUCGAGUAGGUUCUUGCACUCGAUGAGAAGGAGUCCCAGAAUGCAAUUUUUCGAGUUUUGUUGCUGGAAAUGGACUAGAAACAUUACCUUAAACUGUUUUGGUGUUAUAAAACUUGUUUUAGAUGGUGUAAUGGUUAUGCUAAUCCAUUUUCAAUAGCUAUUAUCAAAAUUUCAUGUUUUUAUAUGGUUAAUUUUAUGAUUCUUGAAAUUGUUGAUAUGCAUGUUCAUGAACUUAUGAGUUUAGAAGAUCAUAGGAAUUAUUUGUAACUUGCUUAUUAGUUUAGUACUUGAUCAUUAUGUGUUGUAAUGGAAUCCAUAAUUUGUCCUCAAGUUAUGGAUUACCAAAAUUUAUCAUUUUAAAGUCCAUUAAAGAAACACAUAGGUUACAUAAAAUGAAAAGUCUCUCAUUUUAUUAAACCAUUAACUCAUAAGUUAUGAAAGAUAAAAUGUUUUGAAAGUUACAAAACUUGCCCUCAAGUUUUGGAACAUGUAAAGUUACUCUAAAAACUUUAGUUCCAACCCCUAGAAUUUUAAAAGUUAAAAUUCAAACUUAAACUUAAUAAUAUUAUAAGCUUAAUAAUUAUUAUAUAUGUAUAAGAAAAAUUCGUUUUACCGUUAGUAGGCCUCAUUCACGAAGCCUAUCUAUAGUGGGGUAUAAGGUUACUGCCUAUAAAAUGGCAGCUUAAUGGGUGUCCAUUCUCACCCACCGCUUCCUUGAUCGGUGGAGGGUCGUUAGCCGAACGGGUAAGACAAAGACUUUAAAUAUUUAUUAAAAGUAUUAUGAGUAUAAAGUAACCAAAUGUUUUUAUAAAUUCCCAAUCUUAGUUACUUUAGGAAAAUGUGAAUAAGGUGCUAACCCAUGAAAUUACACUUUGCACUUUGAUUAAGUCGUUAGUGGAGCGUGUGUGGUUAACCGACACACUAACCUGGAAUUAACAGGGUAGGCAAAGGGUAACUUAAUAUUUAUCAUAGUAUCAGUGGAGAGCGUGUGGUUAACCGGCACAUCGAUUGAGGGGUAAAUAUUAAGGGUACCAAGUAAUUUGCAUGGUUACUUCACACCUUGUUUUGUGAUCCUCGGCAUCCAAGUCACAAAACCUAAAGGGCGCACUCGAGAUUGGAACAUGCCAUUGACAAGUUCAAUGAAUCUCAAAGAAUCUAGGAGUUUCAAAACCAAUUAAAACCUAAUAAUUUAUUUCGUUUUUCAUGGUGGAGAUUAGUGAAUCGUCAUUCACCUACCUUCAAAUAUUUUAUAGCUUCGAUUUCGGCAUCCCUCUUCUAAGUUAUAAAAUAUUGUGUUGGGUCCUAGACUUAAUAUUACAUUUGGGUGUUUUAUUAAGGACUAUCUUUAUAUCUAAUCAAAACUUGUCUUUCUUCUUUUCAGAUGUCUUCCAACAAUGCUGCUUUUGGCUCAAAUCCUACCGACUCCUUCUCUCUCAUGAACCUUUGUGGGAGAGUCAUCUUUGAUGGAUCCAACUUUAUGGAUUCGAUCAGAAACAUCAGGACGGUCACUCGAUAUGAGGACAAAGAAUAUGUGCUCGACAAGGAGCUUAAUUCACUUGAUUCGUAUGCUACUCCUAAGGAGAUCGUUGUAUACCAGGCCCAUGAAAGGGAUGCUAUCAAAGUGGCAAGCAUCAUGUUGGCUAGUAUGCCAGUCGAGCUCCAAAAGUCUUAUGAAGACUACUAUCCUUUUUAGAUGCACCAGGAUUAGAUGGACCGCUACCAUCCGAGUGCUCGUCAAGAGAGAUAUGAAAUCAUCUCCUCCAUGAUAACAACCCGGAUGAAGGAUGGUGAACCCAUCACGGGCCACACGCAGAAAAUGCAAUGGUAUGUGGACCAUUUGCUGAAACUGAAUGUGAACUUCCCCGAGGAGUUAGCAAUAGAUAUCAUUUUGCACUCCUUAUCAUCGGGUUAUGAUCAAUUCCAUAUGACAUACCACAUGAACAAGGAGGAAGUUACACUCAGCAAACUUCAAGUACUUUUGAAGACCGCGAAAAGUGGUCUUAAAGGUAAGGCGGUUGUUACCACUCCUACUCUUACCACAACCCAUGUCUUGGCAAUGGGGCAAGGCAAAGGAAAGAAGAGGAAGAACCCUUCAAAGGGCACCGAGGGGAAGACCCUUGAUGGCUUCCCUUCAAGUGGAACUAAGAAAGGUUUCGUCAGUCCUUUUGCUAACCCUAAAGAGGCGGAAUAAUUCUAUUGCCAUGAAAAGUCGCACUGGAAGCGCAACUGCCCAAAGUACCAGCAAGAUGUGAAGGACGGGAAAGUUAAACCCAACCAUGCAGGUACAGACACUAUUUUGUCUAAUAAUUCACCCCAUUCUAAUUCUUGGGUCCUUGAUACAGGUUAUGUUAUUCACAUAAGUACUGAUUUGCAAGGACGAAGACGAAGUGAGAAUGUGGAGCAUGGGAAGAUAAACUUGAUCAUGGGGAAUAGGAAAGCUUCACUUGUCACCAAGAUUGGAGUUUAUUCUUUAUUGAUAAGUAGUGGAUUUGUAUUAGAUUUAAAUAAAUGUUGUUACUCGUCUGAAAUGGCGAGAAAUAUUAUUUCCUUUCAUGGUUUGUACAAACAAGGUUUUACCUUUUCUUUUGAUAAUGAUAGUGGUGGUAUUAAUGCUUUCUUUAAUAAUGUUUUUUUUUUAUUUUAAAGGAUUACCUUGUGAUGGUGUAUAUGAAACUGUGUCAGUUGUUGAUAACCUAGGAAAUAAUGUAUUGUGUAUCAAUUCUUCCACUAGCUUGGAUAAAGCAUCUCUAUGGCCUUGUCGUCUUAGACAUGUAAACAAGAAACGCAUAGGCCAACUCCAAAAGGAUGGAGUCUUGGAGUCAUUUGAACUAAAGUUAGAUGAUAGUUGUGAAUCUUGUUUGCUUGGGAAAAUGACAAACUUACCCUUCACUGUUACUUGUGCUAGGGGUGAGGGUUUGUUGGACCUCAUACACACUGAUGUGUGUGGACCCUUUAGAACCGCCACAAGUGAUGCUAACCGCUUCUACGUGACUUUUAAUGAUGAUUUUAGUAGAUAUGUAUAUGUCUACUUAAUCAAGCAUAAGUCAGAGACAUUUGAAAGAUUCAAAGAAUUCAAGCUGGAAUUAGAGAAUCAGUUGGGCAGGAACAUUAAGAUGCUUCGAUUCGAUCGAGGUGGUGAGUAUCUUACUACAGAGUUCCUUGACUAUCUUAAGGAAUGUGGGAUUAUCUCACAAUUGACACCUCGCAGGACACCAUAGCUUAAUGGUGUGGCUGAGAGGCGCAAUUGAACCUUGUUGGAUAUGGUUCGUUCCAUGAUGUGUCGAGCUUUUCUACCAAUCUCAUUUUGGGGGUAUGGCUUAUAAACUGCCGCCUAUAUCCUUAAUCUAGUUCCUACAAAGAAGGAUGCAAAAACACCUCAUGAUAUGUGGACCGAAAAAUUUCCCAAUCUGGACCACAUCAAGAUUUGGGGUUGCGACGCUUUUAUUAGGUGCAAGUCUCACGAUAAGCUCGAACCACGAAGUGAGAGGUGCGUUUUCGUCGGCUACCCACAAAGAUCCUUGGGUUACCUCUUCUACAGACCCAGUGAUAAUAUGAUCUUUGUAGCAAGGAGAGGAGUCUUUCGAGAGUGAUAAUUCAUGAGACAAGGAAACAGUGGAAGGCAAAUUAACCUUGAAGAAAUUCAAGAGUUAAGUGGUGAAGGAACCUCAAAUCCUAGCAAUCAACUUGAGGAGGAAAAUCCUGUUGAUCCAACAGAAGAGUUUGUACCUUUUAGGUGUUCCACAAGAGUUAGGAAUUCACCUGAGCAUUACUAUGGUUUCCAUAUUACUAUGGAAGGUGAUACACUUAUCAGUUAUAGCACACUGAUAAGUUUGGAUGAACCUAACAGCUACACGGAAGCCAUGGCAGGCCCUGAGGCUGCUAAAUGGAAAGAGGCUAUCGACAACGAGAUACAAUCCAUGUAUGACAAUCAAGUUUGGAACUUGGUUGACAAUGUACCAGGUCGCAAGAGAGCCAGGUGCAAAUGGAUUUUCAAGAAGAAGACCGACAUGGAUGGUAAUAUACACACUUAUAAGGUGCGACUGGUUGCAAAGGGCUUUUCUCAAACUCCGGGAGUUGAUUAUGAUGAGACCUUUUCAAUAGUAGCGAAGAUUAUGUCUAUUAGGGUUAUGUUAGCCAUUGCUGCAUUUCAUGAUUAUGAAAUAUGGCAAAUGGAUGUCAAAACCGCUUUCCUUAAUGGAAAGUUUCUGAGGAUGUUUACAUGAGUCAUCCAGAGGGUUUUUUCAGUACAGAGUACCGUAAUAGAGUGUGUAAGUUGGAGAAAUCCAUAUAUGGAUUAAAGCAAGCACCUCGCAGAUGAAAUCUUUGCUUCGAUGAGAAAUUCAAAGAAUUUGGCUUUUUGAGGAGUGAAGAUGAAUCUUGUGUAUAUGUCAAGGCUAGUGGGAGUAUAGUCAGCUUUUUGGUACUGUAUGUGGAUGACAUACUACUCAUAAGAAAUGACAUCCCAACUCUGCAGGAAGUUAAGUCCUGGCUUGGGAAGUGUUUCACUAUGAAGGACCUUGGAGAAGCUACCUAUAUCCUAGGGAUAAGGAUUCUGAGAGAUAGGAGUAAAAGACUAAUUGGACUUAGUCAGAGUACCUACUUUGAGAAGGUGCUGAAUAGAUUCAGCAUGCAUAAUUCCAAGAAAGGAGAGUUAUCGAUCCAGAGUAACACCAGAUUGAGUAAGACUCGGAGCCCGAGUACAGAGGCUAAGAUAGCUGAGAUGUGUCGAGUACCGUAUUCUUCCGUUGUAGGCUCGAUCAUGUAUGCUAUGACUUGUACUCGUCCUGAUGUGGCCUUUGCAUUAAGCAUGGGUAGUAGAUAUCAGGGGAACCCUAGCAAGUCUCACUGGACUACGGUAAGAACAUUCUCAAGUACCUGCGGAGGACUAAGGACUGGGUCCUCGCCCUCGGUAGGAGUGAAGACUUGAGAGUAUUAGGGUAUAGUGACGCUAGCUUUCAGACUGAUAUGGAUAAUUUCCACUCUCAGCCAGGGUGGGUCUUUACCUUAAACGGAGGAUCAAUUUAUUGGAGAAGUUCCAAGCAGGAGACAGUGGCUGAUUCAACUUGCGAAUUAGAGUAUAUAGCGGCAAGCGAGGCAGGAAUGGAGGCUAUGUGGCUAAAGAACUUCAUUGGAGACCUUUGAGUUGUACCAGCUAUAAAGGAGCCUAUAGAGAUUUUCUGGGACAGUGAAACUGCAGUUGCCUUAUCAGAGGAACCAAGGGAUCAAGGGAUAUCCAAAAACAUCGAUAGAAAAUACCAUUUCAUCAGACAUCGAAUAGAAGAAGGACUCAUCGUGGAAACGAGGGUAUCAUCGGAUGAGAAUCCGACAGAUACCCUCACGAAGGGACUGGGUAGGGUUAAGCAUCUCCAGCAUGCGAGACACAUAGGGAUGAAGGAUGAUAUUCAUUUUAGUAGUUAGAUAGCUUUGAAAUGUGUAAAGUGUAAUUGACAUUUGAUGAUGAAUAAAAGUUAUAAUUAUUUAUGUGUAAAGUGUUGCUAUCCUUUGUCAAUCGUUUACUAUCAUUUCAUUUUUAAUGUUUUGACUUCUAGAAUAAUUAUGUUAUGUUAUAUUAUUCAAAUUCUCCACAGGCGGUCAUAUGUUGGAAGUAGAUAUGAAUCAAGAUUGUCAUGGGUUGGCUUGUAGGGAUCGAGAUGUUGGACAUAAGUGGUGCUACAACACUCAUGAGUGCUCAAAAGUUCUGAGUAUUGGAUUCAACCCACGCUCACUGGUAUCACUUCAUGGAAUUUAUCUUGAGUGAUCGUGAGACGGUAAUAUCAUAUAAGUAUUCAAACCUAGAGAUAUGACUUGUUGCCCAUGAGUUGGUUAUAUAUUGAUUAUAUGAAAACGCAUUGGCAACUCGAUGUUAUAAAACGUGCCUUUGUGUAUGAUUCAAAAAGUAGUAGAACAAGAGUAUGAGUCGAAGGUUAUCUGUUCCUUCCUGGAUUAGAAGCGAUAUCUGGGCCCCUCGAUGAUUUUGUGUCGACCCAUGUACCGGGCCCGGUCAUAACUAAGUUGAUGCAUUCAAUUAAGUUCUAUGUCAAACAAAUCGGAAACCGAGAAACAAAUUGCUGGACAAUAAGUAAGAUAUUGUUCCAUGUAUUUUUCGAGCUGAUAUCUAGAACAGAGGUUUACAUGAUCACUUAUCUUAAAUGGCGUAUCAUCAUCAUCUCAGUUCCAAGAGACCUUGAAAGAGCUACGAUUACUAAUCGGUUCCUGAAUUCAUAUAUGCAGUUAUAGUUAUUACACUCAUCCAAGUAGGAGACUGUUGGAUAAUGUGUCUAAGUCCAUAACUCUUUCUAGUAUGUACAUGACCCGGUUUGGCAUCGUCCAUUUGGGUUGCAUGGCAUCAUGCAUUUGGAUAGACUAAAAUGAGAAAAAUAACACUUAAGGUUUAUUAAUAUAUUAUAAGUUCUAAUAUAUUAAUAAUAUUAUUUAGUAUUGAUCAAGAAUUAAAUUGGAAUUAAUUAAGUGAGCAAACGGAGAUUAAUUAAAUAUAUCGGUUACUUGUGUAAAUCAUCCAUACUUAUAUAGUGGGCUAAUAUUUCAUGGAUUAUCAAGUUGGGCGAAAACCCAUAGGAUGCUCCAUGGUGUUUAUAGAACCCAUGGGUCAUGGAAAUGAAAAGCCAUGACAAUUAGGGUUUACAUGGUGUAACCCUAAUUGUAACACACUAUAUAAGCUUCAUGUUCUUCACCAAAAUCGGUCACUAUGAGAAUAAGAGGGCAUUGCCGAUUUUAGAAGUGUCAUAUUUCUCUCAAGGUUUUUCCAAGUGUAUUUGGUGUUGUGUGAGACAUUUGAGGCAUCACACUUGAGGUGCUGGAUUCACAAGGUUCUCAAGGAAUUUAAGCAACUAAAGGUAUGUAUUUCUUACUAUAUUUUAUGUUUAAAAGUUCCCCUUGUAUGCUAGAUAGGUUAUGAAAAGCACAAGUAUACUCGAUAUACUUACUACAAUGAUGUCUAGUUUUGUUGAUAUGUUAAACUGAAUAAAGACUUGGUUGUUCUGGAUACCUGAUACGACCAUACUACCCUCCUAUGAUUACCUAAUACAUACUAGUUGCAUAUAAUUGAGAUCGAACAAAUAGUUGAAUGGGUAAACCUGUUCUAAGCCCACAACCAAAUAAGGAACAAGAAGUAAGGCGGAAAGCACACAUUCCACUGUCUAUUGGACUUCAAUUUUAUCUAAUCCAAAAGUCUACAUUGGGUAAUCACAUAGUUAGUGUCCUUUGAGAUUGUUCAUGAAAAGUAUAUUACUACGUAAAUAUAUCGUUGUUAUCUAUUGUGAGUUUGACGACCAUACUAAUUGAACCGGUUAAACACAAUGUAUUGUAGAUGUCGAGAAGAAUAUGACGCUUGUCACCCACAGACCUGCCGGUCUGGCUAUAACUAACAGCGAGGUGCGGGAUUAUCAAUCCCGUAUAGAUCUAUACACAAGCUCACUUUCUCCCUCCAUGAGACUCUGGUCGUAAGGGUAGACUUCCACUGAUACUUAUAUGAGUACUCGAAGACGUGUCUCACUAGCUAGAUUGAUGACUUUACAAGUAAUAAUGCGAAAAACCCUUUUUAUAAUUAACAGAGAAGUUUAUAAAAAGAUCCUUUUGUUCCUUAAGCUAAACUUUUUAAACUUUAUAAGCUCAUUUCUAUGUUCUAUUCAAACUUUCAUGUUCUAAAUACAAUUUAUUGGUACAAACACAUAAUAAGCAAUUUAUAUAAUGUAUAACACAACAAUUCUUGUGUUAUACUUAUAUUCUCCCCUAAAACAUUUAAAAAGUUGGAAAAAUACAUGCGGGGUAUGAACUCAUCUUAUGUGGUGAUUUAUUAGAAGGUUUGAUAUAGGAUGAUAGUUUCCACGAACGAAGUCCCGAGACACAAAUGGGUCCUAAUUAGCAUAUUAUUACACAUAUAUGUAUAUAGUUAAUGAAUAUAACUACAAAGGUACUUAGGAAACAACUAAGGAUGGAAGAAUAACUUACCAAAAGAGUGAUAGAAGCAACUUAGCAGGCCGAAAUGGUGUUCACGGCCCAAGAACACAUGAGUGUUCACGGCCCAUGUUGAAGGGUUCACGGCUUAUAUGAGUGGUUCACAGCCCAACAUCAGGGAAGAACACUUGAAGAUCUUGAUGAAAAGAUGAUGAAUCAAUGAUGGAAUCAAAGGGUUUCACAUAAAUGACAAGAUAAGGGGAGUGUUUCUUACUUUUUUGAGGAGAAAAAAGGGCCUUUGAUGGAUGAUACUUGAGAGAGAAUGAGAAAGUUCACAGCUGGAAAAUGAGAAAUGAAGAGAAAAUAGGCUAACAUUCGCAUAUAUAGCAUGAGUUCACUGACCGAGGGUUCACUACCGAGGGUUUGUUUGCGGACGAAGAGUUCAUGGCCAUGAACUGAGGGUUCACGGUCAAAGCCUUUUUCAUGACCGUGAGUCGAGGGUUCACGGUCCAAAAUUCUUCACUACUGCGAAGCUUUAUGGUCAAUGCGAAGGCUCUCGGUUCCUAAGGCUUUUCCCUUCUAACUUAUAUGAAUAAAAAUCUUCGGCUUGUGAUAUCAUCUCCCUGUUAGAUGGAAUUUCGUCCCGAAAUUAGCUUUAUUAGUAGUACUCUUAGGGUCUUACUCCUCUGAAUUUUAGAAUAUCCACUCGUAGACCUGUGCAACUUUGCCCUGACGUUCAUGAUAGGAUUCGUACCUGGUCCAUAUAUCAUCACCUCAUCUAUACAAGUCGUAAAUAAUAAAGAUUAGUAAGACGGUCGAAUGUGCAACUCUGCCCCAGGUCCACAACAAAACAAGAAACAGGAGAUAGGUCGGAAACACACAUACUAAAUCUGCAUAAUCAUAAUUAUAUACCACCCCCAUGUAUACACUUAAUAGUGAUAGUUGGGCUGUAUUUGUCAUUAGCCUUUGGCAUGGUCCAUUUGGGUUGCAUGACUUUGAAACAAUUUGGAUAGACUUUUGUGAGAAGAGGAUAUUUACGGUUUAUUAAUAUAUUAUAAGUUCUAAUAUAUUAAUAUGAAUUAUAUAAUUAGUAUUGAUCAAGAAUUAGUUUGGAAUUAUUUUUUUGAUCAAAAGAGAUUAAUUAAAUAAAUUGGGAUUAAUUUGGUAAAUCAUUCAUUCUUAUAUAGUGGGCUUAUGAUCCAUAGUUCUUCGUGAUGGGCUAAACCCAUAUGGUUACCCAUGGAUACUCCAUGGAGUUUCAAACCCAUGGAUCAUGAGGAAUAUGGAAAGACAUGAGUUACAUGGUGUAGCCCUAACGUGCACACUAUAUAAACACGCCUCAUCCUUGUAAAAUCGGCACUUAAGUGAUACAAGUGAGGGCUAGCUGAUUUUGGUGCAUAAGAAUCUUCUCUCAAGUUAUUCCAAGUUGUUGGUGGUGUUGUGUGAAGCAUUUGAGGCAUCAAAUUUGGGGUUCUAGGCUCACAAGGUCUUAAGGAAUCAAAGCUACAAGAAAGGUAUGUCAUUCUACUAGUUUUUAUAUUACAUAUACCCCAUGAUAUGCUAGUUAGGAUGAAACCAUGGAAAAAUGAAAGUUUGCAUGUAUAAUAGAAAAAACAUGGAUCCAAGGUUUCUAGGGUUGCAUGUACACCAUAUGAGUGUUAGGAUGCUCAAAACCCUUCAGUGGUAUCAGAGCCUAGGCUUGUAUUUGAUUAUACUUGAUGAUACAUGUUUUUUCCAAAGUUGAAAUUCUACCAUUUUUGCAUCUGAAUGCUCACUACGAUCUGGCAGUCUUCACCACGACACGGUGAUGCACCUGUGUGCAGAAUUUUCAGUUUUUGCUUGAAAUUGGAUGAGGUCCAUUACCCUAAACUGUUUUUUGCACCUAGAAACCUUUUUUUCUAAAGGUUAAUUUUCUUUCUUGUCCAAUUGAUAGAUAAUUGUCAUAGUCUCAAGUUUUAUAUUAAGUUCAUACGAUUCUUGAAAAUUGUUGAUAUGAAUUAUGCAUGCUUAUGAGUUUUGUUAGAUCAUAGAAAUUAUUUUACAUGCUUGUUAGUUUACCUGUUGAUCUAAAUGUUUUUAAUGGACUCCAUAACUUGUCCUCACAUUAUGGAAUUCCAAAGUUCUUUUCCAUUAAAAUCAUUAAAACUCAUAAGUUAUAGAAAUGAAAGGUUUUGAAUAGUUUCAAAACUUACCCUCAAGUUUUGGAAUUUGUAAAGUCACUUUAGAAAACUUUAAUUCCAAUCCCUAGAAUUUUAAAUGCUUAAAAAUUCAACCCUUGUACUUUAUAAUAUUAUAAGUUAAUAAUAUAUAUAUAUAUAUAUAUAUAUANUAUAAAAUGGCAGCUUCAUGGGUGUCCAGUCUCACCCGAGGAGAUAAUUGAGUACACUACCCAUGAUAAGGAUGCCACUAAGGUAUCUUGUAUCAUGUUAGCUACCAUCACAACAAAACUCCAGAAAUCGUAUGAAGAUUUCUACCCUUAUGAGAUGCACCAGGACCUGAUGGAAAGAUACCAUUAGAGUGCUCGUCAGGAAUGGUAUGAAAUCAUCACCUCCGUGGUAACAAUAAAAAUGCAGGAUGGAGGGUCUAUCAUGGGCCACCUGCAGAAAAUGCAAAGAUUCGUGGACCGUUUGCUUAAGUGAAAUGUGAACUUUGAUAAGGAGUUAGAUAUCAUUCUACACUCCUUACCCUUUUGUUAUGAUCAGUUCCGCAUGACCUAUCAUAUUAACAAGGAGGAGGUCGCACUUAGCAAACUUCAAGGACUUUUGAGAACUGCUGAAAGUAGUCUCAAAGGUAAGAAUGUUGUUACUACUCCUACCACCGCCCCUGUUCUGGAAAUCGGGCAAGGGAAAGGGAAAAAGAGGAAGAUCCCUUCGAAGGAAACCAAGGUAAAGUCUCUUGAUGGUUGCUCUUUGAGUGGAACCAAAGGUAGUCCUGCCACUCCCUCUUCCAACCUGAAGGAUCCACAAUGCUUCUACUGUCAGCAAAAAGGGCACUAGAAGGGAAGUUGCCCCAAGUACUUGCAGGAUGUUAAGGAUGGGAAAGUUAAACCCACCCAUGCAUGUAUUUACACUAUAUAGUCUAACAACUCACCACAUACUAAUUCUUAGGUCCUUGAUAAAGGGUGUGGAAUUCACAUUUGUUCUGAUUUGUAGGGCCUAAAAAGAAGUGAGGAUGUGGAGCACGACAAGAUAAACUUGAUCAUGGGGAAUAAUAAAGUUUCACCUGUCACGAAGAUUGGAGUUUAUUCUUUAUUGCUUAGUAGUG